Molecule: non-coding RNA, 104 nt
Filed under: Palpitomonas bilix
Lineage: Eukaryota
Source: RNAcentral
AAAGAGGUAGGCAAAGAAAAAAAGAAAAGAAAAAAAAAGAAAAAAAAAAGAAAAGAAAAAAACAAACAGUUUUUUUUCUUUCCCGUUUUCUUCUCACUUGUUUC